RNAcentral lists this ribosomal RNA (269 nucleotides) under uncultured bacterium. RNAcentral's name for it is "partial 16S ribosomal RNA". It matches the Rfam family "Bacterial small subunit ribosomal RNA", at positions 87 to 354 of the family's 1533-position model. The record is from RNAcentral.
CUUACGUUAGGUCGGGACGGUGGNGUACGACGNGGUACGUACGCCCUUGCACUGGGGGAUAACACUUAGAAAUAGGUGCUAAUACCGCAUAAGCGCACGGUCCUGCAUGGGACAGUGUGAAAAACUCCGGUGGUGCAAGAUGGACCCGCGUCUGAUUAGCUGGUUGGCGGGGUAAAGGCCCACCAAGGCGACGAUCAGUAGCCGGCCUGAGAGGGUGGACGGCCACAUUGGGACUGAGACACGGCCCAAACUCCUACGGAAGGCAGCAG